GGAUUGGUGCUUCCCCUUUAUUUUGUCACACUUUGGUGUCCUUGAGUUCAUAAUAGAUUCACCUUUGUUCUGAUUCUGCGCACAGGUCGAGCGACGGCGAGCACAUCCGACGGCAACACACCAAGCAAAAAAGAAGCAGGAGCAAAACGAAAGUGAGCACCAUAGAAAGGAUGAUUAUAAGCAAGCGACAAGAACAAGCCAAUGGGCAUGGCAUUUUCAAGCGACAAGAACAAGCCAAUGGGCUUGGCAUUUUAUGAAAAAUGAGCAGAGGUAAUGUAUUAUUGUAUUGGUCGAGACUUGAGGGUACUGUCUAAACAAAAUGUAUACAGUUGGCAAAGAAUUUAAUGUACAUACAUAGUACAUUAUGUGAUGUAUAAUGUUCAAUUGGCCUCCCAAUCAUAGUAUGGAUAUUUUCAAUAUGGGUGGCAUUCAGGCUUA
Non-coding RNA from Triticum urartu, 438 nucleotides. Lineage: Eukaryota; Viridiplantae; Streptophyta; Magnoliopsida; Poales; Poaceae. The record is from RefSeq and is a predicted model, not a curated record.